Molecule: small nuclear RNA, 108 nt
Filed under: Vombatus ursinus (common wombat)
Lineage: Eukaryota; Metazoa; Chordata; Mammalia; Diprotodontia; Vombatidae
Source: RNAcentral
GUGCUUGCUUCGGCAGCACAUAUACUAAAAAUUGGAAUGAUACAGAGAAGAUUAGCAUGGCUCCUGUGUAAGGAUGACACGCAAAUUCAUGAAGCGUUCCGUAUUUUA